This 460-nucleotide ribosomal RNA is filed under the name uncultured bacterium. RNAcentral's name for it is "partial 16S ribosomal RNA". It matches the Rfam family "Bacterial small subunit ribosomal RNA", at positions 338 to 795 of the family's 1533-position model. The record is from RNAcentral.
CCUACGGGUGACAGCAGUGAGGAAUAUUGGUCAAUGGCCGGAAGGCUGAACCAGCCAUGCCGCGUGAAGGUCAGUGCCCUAUGGGCGUUAAACUUCUUUUGUGCGGGAGCAAUCAUGGUCACGUGUGGCCAGACGAGAGUACCGUACGAAUAAGCAUCGGCUAACUCCGUGCCAGCAGCCGCGGUAAUACGGGGGAUGCAAGCGUUAUCCGGAUUUAUUGGGGUUAAAGGGUGCGUGGGCUGGGAGGUAAGUGAGCGGUGAAAUGCCCCCGCUCAACGGGGUGAAGUGCCAUUGAUACUGCCUUGCUGGAAUGCGGAUGCCGUGGGAGGAAUGUGUGGUGUAGCGGUGAAAUGCAUAGAUAUCACACAGAACACCGAUUGCGAAGGCAUCUCACGAAUCCGCGAUUGACGCUGAUGCACGAAAGCGUGGGUAUCAAACAGGAUUAGAUACCCCUGUAGUC